Molecule: ribosomal RNA, 429 nt
Filed under: Bacillota bacterium
Lineage: Bacteria; Bacillati; Bacillota
Description: Firmicutes bacterium partial 16S ribosomal RNA
Rfam family: Bacterial small subunit ribosomal RNA
Source: RNAcentral
UAGGGAAUCUUCGGCAAUGGACGGAAGUCUGACCGAGCAACGCCGCGUGAGUGAAGAAGGUUUUCGGAUCGUAAAGCUCUGUUGUUAGAGAAGAACGUUGGUAGGAGUGGAAAAUCUACCAAGUGACGGUAACUAACCAGAAAGGGACGGCUAACUACGUGCCAGCAGCCGCGGUAAUACGUAGGUCCCGAGCGUUGUCCGGAUUUAUUGGGCGUAAAGCGAGCGCAGGCGGUUCUUUAAGUCUGAAGUUAAAGGCAGUGGCUUAACCAUUGUACGCUUUGGAAACUGGAGGACUUGAGUUCAGAAGGGUAGAGUGGAAUUCCAUGUGUAGCGGUGAAUUGCGUAGAUAUAUGGAGGACCACCGGUGGCGAAAGCGGCUCUCUGGUCUGUAACUGACGCUGUGGCUCGAAAGCGUGGGGAGCAAACAGG